GCGCCCGUAGCUCAGUUGGAUAGAGCAACGGAUUUCUAAUCCGUCGGUCGGGGGUUCGAAUCCCUCCGGGCGCG
This 74-nucleotide transfer RNA is filed under the name Phycisphaerae bacterium. RNAcentral describes it as "tRNA-Arg". It matches the Rfam family "tRNA". Rfam says of the family: Transfer RNA (tRNA) molecules are approximately 80 nucleotides in length. Their secondary structure includes four short double-helical elements and three loops (D, anti-codon, and T loops). Further hydrogen bonds mediate the characteristic L-shaped molecular structure. tRNAs have two regions of fundamental functional importance: the anti-codon, which is responsible for specific mRNA codon recognition, and the 3' end, to which the tRNAs corresponding amino acid is attached (by aminoacyl-tRNA synthetases). tRNAs cope with the degeneracy of the genetic code in two manners: having more than one tRNA (with a specific anti-codon) for a particular amino acid; and 'wobble' base-pairing, i.e. permitting non-standard base-pairing at the 3rd anti-codon position. Lineage: Bacteria; Pseudomonadati; Planctomycetota; Phycisphaerae. The record is from RNAcentral. RNAcentral also lists the same sequence under 3 other names.